Molecule: long non-coding RNA, 1419 nt
Filed under: Homo sapiens (human)
Lineage: Eukaryota; Metazoa; Chordata; Mammalia; Primates; Hominidae
Description: PREDICTED lncRNA (TCONS_00243689)
Source: RNAcentral
CAUUAGGGGCUCAGCGCGUCCCUCCAGGCCACGCCGUCAGGCCUCCGUCCUUUUAGCUGUAGGGGCAGAUUACGUAACUCCAGCCUUCUGGUCACUAAAGGAGGGUAACAAAGGGCGGUCGAGAGACUCCACUGAGUUGACACGCAGACGCAGCCUCAGGACCCUAAACUCUACGCCCCAGCACACCCUACCAAGCGAGCGCCCGCGGCCGCGUGACGUCAUCUACCCCAAACGCUGUGGCCCCGGCCACGCACGGCUUCGGGGCGGGACUACGCGGUGACGUCGAGGUGCGCGGCGCAGCGCGCGGCGUCAGUCUUGGCUGGCAGACCUGUACUCCGUACUCCGUACUUCGUAGUCGCAGCGGCGCGGUCUUCGGCAGUCUAGUCAUCCACCGCCAUCCUGGGCCCCACGUGUUGCCUGACCAUUCCUGAGCCCAGGUGGGAGCCGUGGCUGAGGUGACGGUCUCAAAGUGGAAGAGCUUACUGUCACAGCAACUCCUUUGCAAGAUGCCCCGGCCAGGAAUAGUUGCUGAACACCCCAGGCCUGCUGAGGUCCCUCCUUGAGUCUCAUGUUCAAGCAGUCUUGUGAGUAAAGCACUGGCUACCCCUUUUCACUUACUAUCUUUUCAAGCAUGUUCUACCACCUUGGAAGGUAAGAGGUUAGUACCUUCUUCCAGAGCAGAGGGCAGGCAUUCUUGCUGUGCGUUGUGAAAGGGUAGAGUCCUGCGCUCCUUUCUUGUAGUAGUCCAAUGGCUCAUGCAGGUGCCUCUGACUCCCCUAUGGGAACUGGGGCUUGGGAGGGUGGUGGAAAAUGCUGAUGCUCUGGCUAUUGCUAUUGUUUUGAAUAAUCAGUGGUCCCUUGUCCCUAAUCGAGGAAUUUUGUAUUUUCUACCAGUGUCCAUGAAACUGGGAGGCGACCGUGUUAGCUGCCAGUUCCUGACAGCCACCUCUCACCAGUGGCUUCACUCUGUGUCCCUGACCCAGCACAUGGCACAAGAGUGCCUGCCAUCCGUCAGUGUUUCUACAGCAGCAAUCCCAAGAUGCUGGAGCUAGAGGGGACCUGACCUGAGAGAAGAUACCUUCAGUGGCUGCCAGGCUGUUCCUUGGAACCUGUGCAGGGAUGAGGCCUGCCUGUGUUAAUACACCUAGUGAGGAGUGGAGCUGAAUUUGAAUGCAAGCCUUGGCACCUUAAUUGAGCAAGUUUGAAACCUCGCUUGUUGCCCUUCUGGAAGGAGUCAGGAAUUUCCAGUUCUGGGCCUGGGCUGUGGGUCUGGCAGACAGACCUCUGGCCCUAGGUUUGGGUGCCAGGUUCUCUGCUUCCAGAAUGAGAAGCUUUGCUGUGCACCAGGACCUGGGCCCUUCUGGUAUCUCCUGAAUGAAAAACAAGGGAUAUUUAAUAAAUAUGGAUUUAAAUAUGUGA